ACUGGCUACCCGCAAAGCCACU
RNAcentral lists this microRNA (22 nucleotides) under Patiria miniata (bat star). RNAcentral's name for it is "Pmi-Mir-34_3p* (star (passenger))". Lineage: Eukaryota; Metazoa; Echinodermata; Asteroidea; Valvatida; Asterinidae. The record is from RNAcentral.